Molecule: long non-coding RNA, 469 nt
Filed under: Mytilus galloprovincialis (Mediterranean mussel)
Lineage: Eukaryota; Metazoa; Mollusca; Bivalvia; Mytilida; Mytilidae
Source: RNAcentral
GGUGCAUUACGUUUGCGCGCAUUACCAUUACAUUUGCGCGCAGUUUUUCAUUACAAUUGCGCGCAUUUAGUUGAUAGGUAAACUCAGGUAAGCUUAGGCAAAAACUCUUAUUUACCUAUGAAUUUAUUCAAUUAUUUUAAGUAAAAGUACCCUUUCCUUUAGACUAAGUCACCUAUUCACCCACGAGGAUGUGGAAGUGGGAUACAAGCAGGAUAAGUCGGUUGCAUUAUAUUUUAUCAAUCCGGAAAUAAUAAUACUCAUCACAUACUAAUGAUUUUCUCCCCCGAUUUGCUAUAAAAAAAAACUUCAAAUGUUCGUUACUUGACAAAACUUUACAAUCUAACUUACAAUAGAUUAUUUACGAAUUUUAAAGAGAUCACUAUUCGGGGUACUUAUCACCCUGGAAAAUUCGCAAUGAAGUUACAUGUAUGUCUUAAGUUAUAACAGAAUUUAUCAUGCACACUUUAUA